UACAGAGGUCUCAAGCGUUGUUCGGAUUCAUUGGGCGUAAAGGGUGCGUAGGCGGCGCGGUAAGUCGGGUGUGAAAUCUCGGAGCUUAACUCCGAAACUGCAUUCGAUACUGCCGUGCUUGAGGACUGGAGAGGAGACUGGAAUUUACGGUGUUGCGGUGAAAUGCGUAGAUAUCGUAAGGAAGACCAGUGGCGAAGGCGGGUCUCUGGACAGUUCCUGACGCUGAGGCACGAAGGUCAGGGGAGCAAACGGG
This 253-nucleotide ribosomal RNA is filed under the name uncultured bacterium. RNAcentral describes it as "partial 16S ribosomal RNA". It matches the Rfam family "Bacterial small subunit ribosomal RNA", at positions 524 to 776 of the family's 1533-position model. The record is from RNAcentral.